UAAGUAUGAGACCCCUUGUAAGCUUGCUUGCAAGGGGGUGAAGUACUUCAUGACCUGAAAAACAUGAGGAAUUAGUGGGGCAGGGGCCCCAUGGUUUCCGAAUGUUUUUUGGAUUGCGAGAGCGCUUGGCGCGUAGCAAUCCGUGUUAU
This 149-nucleotide small RNA is filed under the name uncultured Butyrivibrio sp. RNAcentral describes it as "Clostridiales-1 RNA". It matches the Rfam family "Clostridiales-1 RNA". The record is from RNAcentral. Lineage: Bacteria; Bacillati; Bacillota; Clostridia; Lachnospirales; Lachnospiraceae.